This 253-nucleotide ribosomal RNA is filed under the name uncultured bacterium. RNAcentral's name for it is "partial 16S ribosomal RNA". It matches the Rfam family "Bacterial small subunit ribosomal RNA", at positions 524 to 776 of the family's 1533-position model. The record is from RNAcentral.
UACGGAGGGAGCUAGCGUUGUCCGGAAUUAUUGGGCGUAAAGAGCUCGUAGGCGGUCUGUUGCGUCGGCUGUGAAAACCCGGGGCUCAACCCCGGGCCUGCAGCCGAUACGGGCAGACUAGAGUUCGGCAGGGGAGACUGGAAUUCCUGGUGUAGCGGUGAAAUGCGCAGAUAUCAGGAGGAACACCGGUGGCGAAGGCGGGUCUCUGGGCCGAUACUGACGCUGAGGAGCGAAAGCGUGGGGAGCAAACAGG